UGGGGAAUUUUGGACAAUGGGCGAAAGCCUGAUCCAGCAAUGCCGCGUGUGUGAAGAAGGCCUUCGGGUUGUAAAGCACUUUUGUCCGGAAAGAAAUCCUUGGCUCUAAUACAGUCGGGGGAUGACGGUACCGGAAGAAUAAGCACCGGCUAACUACGUGCCAGCAGCCGCGGUAAUACGUAGGGUGCAAGCGUUAAUCGGAAUUACUGGGCGUAAAGCGUGCGCAGGCGGUUUGCUAAGACCGAUGUGAAAUCCCCGGGCUCAACCUGGGAACUGCAUUGGUGACUGGCAGGCUAGAGUAUGGCAGAGGGGGGUAGAAUUCCACGUGUAGCAGUGAAAUGCGUAGAGAUGUGGAGGAAUACCGAUGGCGAAGGCAGCCCCCUGGGCCAAUACUGACGCUCAUGCACGAAAGCGUGGGGAACAAACAGGAUUAGAUACCCUGGUAGUCCACGCCCUAAACGAUGUCAACUAGUUGUUGGGGAUUCAUUUCCUUAGUAACGUAGCUAACGCGUGAAGUUGACCGCCUGGGGAGUACGGUCGCAAGAUUAAAACUCAAAGGAAUUGACGGGGUCAUAGCUGUUUCCU
This 585-nucleotide ribosomal RNA is filed under the name uncultured bacterium. Its description in RNAcentral is "partial 16S ribosomal RNA". It matches the Rfam family "Bacterial small subunit ribosomal RNA", at positions 355 to 1375 of the family's 1533-position model. The record is from RNAcentral.